RNAcentral lists this ribosomal RNA (283 nucleotides) under uncultured Clostridium CL2. RNAcentral describes it as "partial 16S ribosomal RNA". The stretch from base 71 to 283 matches the Rfam family "Bacterial small subunit ribosomal RNA", at positions 61 to 293 of the family's 1533-position model. The record is from RNAcentral. Lineage: Bacteria; Bacillati; Bacillota; Clostridia; Eubacteriales; Clostridiaceae.
CGGAAGUAUGGAGUCCUUCACGSGUUAUUUAAGUGACAACACAUGUUGUAAAGUGAACUGAAUUUUGAGUGUUGAGCGGAAGCUANCGGCGGACGGGUGAGUAACGCGUGGGCAACCUGCCCUGUACUGAGGGACAACAACGGGAAACCGUUGCUAAUACCUCAUAAUACCUUUUAAAGGCAUCUUUUWAARGUCAAAGAUUUAUCGGUACAGGAUGGGCCCGCGUCUGAUUANCUANUUGGUGGGGUAAUGGCCCACCAAGGCGACGAUCAGUACCCGACCU